This 254-nucleotide ribosomal RNA is filed under the name uncultured bacterium. Its description in RNAcentral is "partial 16S ribosomal RNA". It matches the Rfam family "Bacterial small subunit ribosomal RNA", at positions 337 to 583 of the family's 1533-position model. The record is from RNAcentral.
ACCUACGGGGGGCAGCAGUAGGGAAUCUUCCACAAUGGACGAAAGUCUGAUGGAGCAACGCCGCGUGAGUGAAGAAGGGUUUCGGCUCGUAAAAAUCUGUUGGGAGGGGAGAAAGAUAGAGGUAGUAACUGGCCUUUAUUUGACGGUAAUGACUUAGAAAGAGACGGCUAACUACGUGCCAGCAGCCGCGGUAAUACGUAGGGGGCAAGCGUUGUCCGGAUUUAUUGGGCGGAAAGCGAGUGCAGGCGGUUUCA